UACGAAGGGGGCUAGCGUUGCUCGGAAUCACUGGGCGUAAAGGGUGCGUAGGCGGAUUUGUAAGUCAGGGGUGAAAUCCCGGGGCUCAACCUCGGAACUGCCUUUGAUACUGCAAAUCUCGAGUCCGGAAGAGGUGAGUGGAAUUCCUAGUGUAGAGGUGAAAUUCGUAGAUAUUAGGAAGAACACCAGUGGCGAAGGCGGCUCACUGGUCCGGUACUGACGCUGAGGUGCGAAAGCGUGGGGAGCAAACAGG
This 253-nucleotide ribosomal RNA is filed under the name uncultured bacterium. RNAcentral's name for it is "partial 16S ribosomal RNA". It matches the Rfam family "Bacterial small subunit ribosomal RNA", at positions 524 to 776 of the family's 1533-position model. The record is from RNAcentral.